ACGUAGGUGGCAAGCGUUGUCCGGAAUUAUUGGGCGUAAAGCGCGCGCAGGCGGUCCUUUAAGUCUGAUGUGAAAGCCCACGGCUCAACCGUGGAGGGUCAUUGGAAACUGGGGGACUUGAGUGCAGAAGAGGAAAGUGGAAUUCCACGUGUAGCGGUGAAAUGCGUAGAGAUCGGGAGGAACAUCAGUUGCGAAGGCGGCUCUCUGGACCAGCACUGACACUGAGGCACGAAAGCGUGGGGAGCAAACAGGA
This 253-nucleotide ribosomal RNA is filed under the name uncultured prokaryote. Its description in RNAcentral is "partial 16S ribosomal RNA". It matches the Rfam family "Bacterial small subunit ribosomal RNA", at positions 525 to 777 of the family's 1533-position model. The record is from RNAcentral.